GAGUGCGGUGUGCAGAUGUGUCAUGUUGUGGAGUGGCGUGGAUGGGCCUGUCUGUCAAAUUGGAGGCGGGGAUCUGGGUUCGAAGCUGGGAGAGGCGGUUGGGCGUUUUUGUCCAAAUGCGAUUCAUGAAAUUGAAAUUGUAUCCAUGUUUGGACCCAAUGUUAAGGACGGAUUGGCGCUCAUGUUCUUUAUCGGACCACUUAGUGACAUGGGUGGGGAUCCUGGAGGGGGGAGCCCUGGGGGCUGCAGCUUUAUAUGCGGGUGGGUCCCUGGACCGUGCUGGGAUGGCGACCGGACUGUGGGUCGGUUUCUUAUAUAUACUAGU
This 325-nucleotide long non-coding RNA is filed under the name Androctonus crassicauda. Lineage: Eukaryota; Metazoa; Arthropoda; Arachnida; Scorpiones; Buthidae. The record is from RNAcentral.